Molecule: ribosomal RNA, 253 nt
Filed under: uncultured bacterium
Lineage: Bacteria
Description: partial 16S ribosomal RNA
Rfam family: Bacterial small subunit ribosomal RNA
Source: RNAcentral
GACAGAGGGUGCAAACGUUGUUCGGAUUUACUGGGCGUAAAGCGCGUGUAGGCGGCUUUGCAAGUCGGAUGUGAAAGCCCACGGCUCAACCGUGGAAGUGCAUCCGAAACUGCAUGGCUUGAGUCUCGGAGAGGAAGGUGGAAUGCUUGGUGUAGAGGUGAAAUUCGUAGAUAUCAAGCAGAACACCUGCGGCGAAGGCGGCCUUCUGGACCAUGACUGACGCUGAGACGCGAAAGCGUGGGGAGCAAACAGG